GAUGAAGAACGUAGCGAAAUGCGAUAAGUAGUGUGAAUUGCAGAAUUCCGUGAAUCAUCGAAUCUUUGAACGCACAUUGCGCCUUCUGGUAUUCCGGAAGGCAUGCCUGUUCGAGAGUCAUUAACAACCGUUUCGAUCCCUUUCUUUCAGAAAUUACAAAGAGGAAAAGGGUUUGGUUAUGGUGGAGGAGGGAAAGGGAGCGUUUAGCCUGUAAAAAAAGAGGCUGUGUUCCGCCUCCCCCCCAAAAUUGUACAGGCGGUCGUGUGCGCCCACGCAUCGAGGUGUUGUAAAAGCUGCCACGACACUUUUCACCUGUGCAGUGCGAGAUUGGCCAGCCGGUUUAAAAACCCCUCCAAACAAUCAAAGGUUGACCUCGGAUCUGGUAGGGAUACCCGCUGAACUUAAGCAUAUCAAUAAGCGGAGGA
This 425-nucleotide unclassified non-coding RNA is filed under the name soil metagenome. RNAcentral describes it as "partial contains 5.8S ribosomal RNA, internal transcribed spacer 2, and large subunit ribosomal RNA". The stretch from base 1 to 120 matches the Rfam family "5.8S ribosomal RNA", at positions 35 to 154 of the family's 154-position model. The record is from RNAcentral.